UGACAUUACCUUUAGAAGAAGCACCGGCUAACUCCGUGCCAGCAGCCGCGGUAAUACGGAGGGUGCAAGCGUUAAUCGGAAUUACUGGGCGUAAAGCGUGCGUAGGCGGUUAUUUAAGUCAGAUGUGAAAGCCCCGGGCUUAACCUGGGAACUGCAUUUGAUACUGGGUAACUAGAGUUUAAUAGAGGAGAGUGGAAUUUCAGGUGUAGGGGUGAAAUGCGUAGAGAUCUGAAGGAACACCAGUGGCGAAGGCGACUCUCUGGAUUAAAACUGACGCUGAGGUACGAAAGCGUGGGUAGCAAACAGGAUUAGAUACCCUGGUAGUCCACGCCGUAAACGAUGUCAACUAGCCGUUGGGCCAUUAUACAGGUUUAGUGGCGCAGCUAACGCAUUAAGUUGACCGCCUGGGGAGUACGGCCGCAAGGUUAAAACUCAAAUGAAUUGACGG
RNAcentral lists this ribosomal RNA (448 nucleotides) under uncultured bacterium. RNAcentral's name for it is "bacterial SSU rRNA". It matches the Rfam family "Bacterial small subunit ribosomal RNA", at positions 470 to 916 of the family's 1533-position model. The record is from RNAcentral.